AUAAGGGUAGCCUAGUGGACAUGGCACCUGCCCGGUAAGCAGAAGGUUGUGGGUUCGUUUCCCGCCCCUGGACACUUUUAUU
RNAcentral lists this transfer RNA (82 nucleotides) under Cordylochernes scorpioides. Its description in RNAcentral is "tRNA-Thr". The stretch from base 4 to 69 matches the Rfam family "tRNA". From Rfam's summary of the family: Transfer RNA (tRNA) molecules are approximately 80 nucleotides in length. Their secondary structure includes four short double-helical elements and three loops (D, anti-codon, and T loops). The record is from RNAcentral. Lineage: Eukaryota; Metazoa; Arthropoda; Arachnida; Pseudoscorpiones; Chernetidae.